Molecule: small nucleolar RNA, 77 nt
Organism: Camellia sinensis
Lineage: Eukaryota; Viridiplantae; Streptophyta; Magnoliopsida; Ericales; Theaceae
Product: small nucleolar RNA R21
Source: RefSeq, a predicted model, not a curated record
CAUCCCUGUGAAGAAUGCUUUGCAUGAUAAAAGUAGUGGACUGAUCUUCAUUGAAGAGUAAAUGAUUCUGAGGGAUG